GUUUGAUCCUGGCUCAGGAUGAACGCUAGCGGCAGGCUUAGCACAUGCAAGUCGAGGGGCAGCGCGAUGUAGCAAUACAUUGGCGGCGACCGGCGCACGGGUGCGUAACACGUAUGGAACUUACCCUUUACUGGGAGAUAGCCCGGAGAAAUCCGGAUUAAUAUCCCAUAAUAAACGAAGUGGCAUCACUUUGUUUUGAAAGCUCCGGCGGUAAAGGAUGGCCAUGCGCACGAUUAGCUAGUAGGUGAGGUAACGGCUCACCUAGGCUACGAUCGUUAGGGGGCCUGAGAGGGUUAUCCCCCACACUGGUACUGAGACACGGACCAGACUCCUACGGGAGGCAGCAGUGAGGAAUAUUGCGCAAUGGAGGCAACUCUGACGCAGCCAUGCCGCGUGCAGGAAGAAGGCGCUACGCGUUGUAAACUGCUUUUAACCGGGAAGAAACCCUCCGACGUGUCGGAGGUUGACGGUACCGGAGGAAUAAGCACCGGCUAACUUCGUG
RNAcentral lists this ribosomal RNA (502 nucleotides) under uncultured bacterium. RNAcentral's name for it is "bacterial SSU rRNA". It matches the Rfam family "Bacterial small subunit ribosomal RNA", at positions 11 to 507 of the family's 1533-position model. The record is from RNAcentral.